CAGGUCACGUGGGCAGAGAAGAGCAGGGGGAGAGAGGAGAGAAGGUCCACCCCCCUCACCGGGACUGGACCACCCAGAGCGGGGAGAAUGCCUUCUCUGCUAACAACUCCUGUGAAUAAGAAAGUUACAUUAGAUCAGAAUACCCAGACGCUGAGACAUGGAGGUUUGCAGCAAAGAGAUUAGUCACAAGACAGAUGAAUCUUGGAGCCACCUCGCUGAAGGCAACGGGAUUGGAAAUAGGUGUGAUAAUCCACAUUCUGCUCAGGCAUAACUCAGCCACUGGCCUCUGAACUUUUAAAAGGUCGUCCAGUGGAAACCCACGCAUGCCCACUUGAAGGAUCAGUGGUCCUAUCCAGUCUUAACAGGCUCAGCUCACACCAGACACAGCUGAUACCAAGUUCCUAGAAAACAACUCGAGCAAACAUCUUACUGUUUAAGCUAUGUCCUGCUUGAAGGACAUGCAAGUCUUUUGCAGUAACAAUUAAAAUGACUUUGAUUUGGUUACAGGUGAAAUGGAUUUAACCAGUGACUAUCCAUGGUUUCAUCUGCCAUACAGCAUAUAUUAAGAAUGAGAAUAAGAAAAAAAUGAGGAGGAACACUAAAGUGGAGAGGGGAAGACGCUGAAGACAUAUUUCCCAUUGCGAUUUUUGGAUCAAGCAUUCAUUUGCAGGGCAUGGAAAGCCAUCUUUUGCAUUGAUUACUGAUCAUAAUAUGACCCGGCACUGGAUUUGCUGUAGAUCUGAAGUAAAACCCCGCAGGAGCAAACUGGUAUCAGCUAAGACCCCAAAACCAUCAGUGUUGAGAAGGUUCACCCCCAUGAGAAGAAAGAGGAAACCUUUCAGGGUUGUAAUUGGAAGAGUCGCAGGGUUUAGGGGAGGCCAGUUUUACCUGAAUCCAACAAAAUGGUGUAGUCUGUAUUUAAUAUUGGAAUUGGGAGAAGAGGAGUUGCCUCUAGUUUUUUUCUUUUUUUCUUCUUCUUUCACUUUUACAGUUGCAAAAUAUUAUCAACUCAAAUCUGAGAGGAAAAAAAACUGAAAGUAUUUGUUGAACAAAUCAAAGUGCUUCAAUUUUUAUUUAAAUUUGUGUCUUUUAAAUCUUUAUGUAAAUCAUUCUAUGAUCUUUAUAGGGUAAAAAAAAAUUGUGACAAAAAGAAAAAACACGUAAUCCAAUCAAUCAAAAAUAAUUAUAAUGUCCUUAUCAAGCAUUCCUUCAGGUAUUUUCUGUGCAUACAUAACAUUAUGUACACCUUUUAAAUAAAAUCAGAUCGUCUCAAUCAAAAA
This is a non-coding RNA of Vicugna pacos (alpaca), 1280 nucleotides long. The record is from RefSeq and is a predicted model, not a curated record. Lineage: Eukaryota; Metazoa; Chordata; Mammalia; Artiodactyla; Camelidae.